Molecule: long non-coding RNA, 1681 nt
Organism: Zophobas morio
Lineage: Eukaryota; Metazoa; Arthropoda; Insecta; Coleoptera; Tenebrionidae
Exons: 12
Source: RefSeq, a predicted model, not a curated record
CUUCAAUAAACUACAAAAUUUAUUAAACGAAAUCUGGAACAAGGGAAAGUUUAUACAGCUCAUUUACUGACCUGGGCUAUGUAGUAUUAAAUGACCGUCCUUAAUCUUUGGUUCGCUUCUUUAAAGUAAUUCGAUUGUUCUUUUGGGUAAUGGACCCAGUUCUGAGAAAAUACCUUAUUAACAAUAAUUCUAAAGUAUAUUGCGCUCUACUCCUCGAUGAAAAAAGCUAGUUUUUUGAGGUAAAAUACAUACGUGCUGCAGCCAAAUGCUCCAACGCUACCACCUACAUAAACUUAAGUCACGAACACGCCUAGCACAAUAAGAUCUUAGGCAGCCCCUUCACAACAGUUUGCCGGUUAUCAAGUUUUGGAGACAGCAAAGAUGACUUAUUGCAACCAAUAGUAAUUGCUUAAGCAGCCUUUGUAGCUGAAGGGAAGCAGUUUAUUACGAAUGGGGGGCAAGUGGUACGCUCUGAGCAGCAAGAAAUUCGGUAAAAGUUUCUCUUUGUUUACGUGGUCUUCGGCCAUAAGAUCAUCGUGAGUCAGAAGGGUAGUAGCUCUUAACAGAGGACCAAAAGAGUCGCGGCAGUCGUCUCCCACAGCUUUCCUACUGCGACGGGUAGUGGAUCAUAUGCCGUAGAUGCUUGCUGAUAAGCAUCUUCAGUUCGCGAGAUUUAACGUCAAGUGUGGUCACGGCGGCGUGAGCGGGUGUUGUACCGAACUUGGUAAAGAAAUCGAGUCAUUUUAAAAACAGGACGAAUUUGACCUUGGUCGAAAAGGCAUUCCCAUGUGUUUUAAAUACAGUAAAGGGCGCGUUAUCCCCAUGCAUCCUGAAUAUCUGGCCGUUUAAUCUAAAACUUGAGGAAAGGCACCUAUAAAAGAUUGAAGGGUUUUAUGCAAGCCAGAGUAACUACUGCGUCGCUUUUGCAAAGAUAUAAACUGGAACAAGUAAAAACGGCGAGCUUUGAAGACCGCUCUACAAUGGAGUAUCUAGUAUUUUAUUGGGAGAGAAGUUGGUCGCAGAGUCACGCCGUUCUUCAUAACAAAAAAAGGUGCUGAAGGCUAUCGUGAAGCACAGCAGCUGAUAAUCCUUGCUUCCAACUAUAUGCUCUUUAUUAUACGAUAACUGAUGCCGUUUAAUACCUAAUGUUUGCUUUUCUUAACAUAAUUGAUGCUAACAUGACCCAGCGGCUCGCCGGCAUUAGUCGAGAAGAAGCACAGCUUGCGUAGCGCUUCAUUAAUAUUCAUAAAGCAGGCGAUACCAACCAGACAGAAAGAGGUUUUGCUUUGCCCUCAUUGCUCCCUUCGUCGAGCAAAAAUUAAAGUUUGCAGUGGAACAAUAUACAAUUAAAAGUACUAGUGAAGCUUCAUAAAUUAACGCUUAUUUGCCCCUCUCAUUUUCCCCCUCAUGGAGAAGACGAAACGCUUGUCUCAUUUGAGAUCUCUAUAGUUACUUACCACUUCACGCUUACAUUUUAGCACUCUUCUCCCAGUCUAUCUUGCAUUGUCAAUAUGUUUGUAUUCGGCACUUCGAUUUAUUAAAAUUAAUUAGUUGAAUCUUGCUACGCGACACUAAUCCUCAAAAGAAAAGAACAGAGUUUUUCGGUUCUAUCACUACACCGACUUCUGUUACCAGAAGCCCCUUUUCUGCAUUGACUUGGGAAAGAAAUUUAUAUGAAUUA